This 18-nucleotide non-coding RNA is filed under the name Arabidopsis thaliana (thale cress). Lineage: Eukaryota; Viridiplantae; Streptophyta; Magnoliopsida; Brassicales; Brassicaceae. The record is from RNAcentral.
UGGGCCUUAUAAUGGGCA